GAUGAACGCUGGCGGCGUGCCUAAUACAUGCAAGUCGAGCGAACAGACCAGGAGCUUGCUCCUCUGACGUUAGCGGCGGACGGGAGAGUCACAUGUGGAUAACCUCCCUAUAAUACUGGUAACACUUCGGGAAACCGGCGCUAAUACCGGAUAAUCUCUUGAACCGCAUGGUUCAUUAGUGAAAGACGGUUUUGCUGUCACGUCUAGCUGGUUCCGCGCUGCUUUAGCUAGUUGGUAAGGUAACGGCUUACCAAGGCGACGAUGCGUAACCGACAGGAGUGGGUGAUCGGCCAGACUGGAACGGAGACCCGGUCCAGUCUCCUACGGGAGGCAGCAGUAGGGAAUCUGCCGCAAUGGGCGGGAGCCUGACGGAGCAACGCCGCAUGAGUGAUGAAGGUCUUCGGAUCGGAAAACUCUGUUAUUAGGGAAGAACAAAUGUGUGAGUGACUAUGCACGUCUUUACGGUACCUGAGCAGAGAGGCACGGCUAACUUCGUG
RNAcentral lists this ribosomal RNA (497 nucleotides) under uncultured bacterium. Its description in RNAcentral is "partial 16S ribosomal RNA". It matches the Rfam family "Bacterial small subunit ribosomal RNA", at positions 28 to 507 of the family's 1533-position model. The record is from RNAcentral.